AAAAUAAAAUAUCUUCAAAAGUACAUGAAAAUUUCGAACUAGCUGUGGAAAAUGAUAGCUAUAAAUUCCGUAAUUUCUUUUGGCGACGUUCCAGAAAAUUUUCUAUAUUUGUUACGUUUCAACAAAAUCAUCACAAAAUCGUCAUUGGUAUUUCUAACAGAACCACGCAGCCUGCAUUUUAGAAACUUGUUUAUCAUUAAAAUAAACAGUAAACAUGUAUAAUGUACCACACGAUCUCCAAACGCCGUAUAUACCGCCUUAUAUCAAUAUUAUCGAUUACGAACAUGUGCCUUACACGAAAUAUCACUCUGUAUAUGUUCCUAAUUAUGAUACAUAUAGACCGGUAGAUAAAUACGAUAAAUGGCCUUCUUGGUAUCGAGCUUACUUACAUAUGCCUGAAUUUAGGCACUAUUUGAAUAAUACUCUUAUGAGAGAUGUGGGGAUUCGUAGACAUAAAUACGUCCACACUUAUUGGUAAAACACGAAUAGAAGAAAGAAAAUUUGCGAUUUGCGUUCAAAUUUUGUCAAUUUCAUCAUAAUUUGUAUUUACAAAUAAAUUGCUUUCGUGUAUUUUGGAUCGAAUAUUUAAUUUGAUAAUUUGUUUACUUGGAAUCGGAAUUUUGAUAUAGAAUCAAAUUCUAAAUUACAUUAUCCAUUCGAUACAGUACAAACAUGGAAUAAUUAGUGAAAACACAUAUUUUACAAUAUUUUCACAGCAUGUUGUUAGUAAAUACAUUUUUUUAAAAAAUCAAAACCAAGUUCUCACAACAUAAUAAACCAACGAAAAAUCUCGAUGUAAAGCUAGUUUCAUCGAUAAUAUUCUCUAAUCAUUUAUGAACAAAUUCCACCCUCUAUUUUAUAAACGAAACUACGAGGAUAGUUCCAAAAGUACUGGAAAACAUAAAAAUUUCGGAAAAAAUGAUGUUAUGUCCUUUUAGCUCCAUAAGCUUUUCCCAGCGAUGUUCAAUAAGUUCGAUACCCUCUUCAUGUAAUUCGUAUGACUAAUUGAUCCUCAUAAACACAUAUCCAAACAUGUUUGUUUCGAUAACGAAGUUGUCGUCUUCAGGAAAAGUAUUAUACCAAAGCUUUAUGUUGCCAAAUGUGAAUAUUUCCGAGCAGGUAUCUGGCAAACUUCCAGUAAGAUUUCUCGUCUAGUGCUUUAGAGAUUUUAUCUUUAUUCUCGACAAAAAUCUCGACUAAUCUAUUGAGUUUCGUUGUGAUUUCUGUUUAAUCUUUAAAUAAUAAAAAAAUGCUUGGAUUGCAAUACGACCCUUAUUACCGAUACGAUUUAUGGCCUUAUUCAAAAUACGUUCCUGUAGAUAUACCGGAUUAUAAAAUUAACAGACCUUUGGAUUAUUAUAGCAAAUGGCCGGAAUACUAUCCAAUGUUAUUGCCCGUACCAGAAUUCAGAACGUAUCUGAAUAAUCUUUUGCUUAGAGAUUUAAGGCUGAGAAAAUAUCAAUAUACACACACUUAUUGGUGAACAACUAUAUAAAUCGAUUUAUUUAACUACGAAUUUCCAAAGAUAUAUAUUUAAAAUGUUAUUGGAUAUUUAAUAUUGAAAUUCAUGUAAAGAAAAAAUAAUAUAACCGGAAAAUAUAAAAUAUUACGUAUCCUCUCAAAGUUUUUUGUCGACUAUUCCGAUUAAUUUUUUUGUUAUUGCAUAAUAAUUAAUCUUUUCGUGUCGUAAAUUUUUGUUCGACGAGAUUUCGUAAUAUCAUAAUGAUAAAACUACGUCGCUUUUUUAUAUUAAAUAUUAACAAAGUAGAAAUUUCGAUUAAAAAUUCAUCAAAAGACAAGUUUUCUAUUGUGGCCGCAUAAAAACCCUAGUCGAGAUUAUAUUCCAUUUGAUCGAGCUUCUUAAUUCGGGGACUCAUCACUUUAUCUGAGAUUGAGAUUUUGCUGUAGACAUAACAGAUUUUCUCUAUCGUUUGUCAACUCAAUUCAUCCACAAUCUAAUAUCCACGAUUUCUAUUGCAUUUCCACUAAGAAAAUCAUUUAAACCAAUAUUAAAAUAAGACAGUCUCAUUAAAAUUAAUGAGUAAUUGAUAUAAUUAUAUAUAUAUAUAUAUAUAUAUAUAUAUAUAUAUAUAUACAUAUAUUUGCGAGAUGUUUUAAAAAUUUCGGUUCCAAUUUGAUGAGGCACUCGAAUUAAAAUUCGCAAACUAACGGUUUGAAAAACUGUCAAAUAAAAGUAGAAAUUUCGAUUAAAAAAUUGAUCAAAAGACAAGUUUUCUAUUGUGGCCGCAUAAAAACAAUCGUCUAGAUUAUGUUCCAUUUGAUAGAGUUUCUUAAUUCGGGGACUCAUCACUUUAUCUGAGAUUGAGAUUUUGCUGUAGAUAGAACAUAUUUCCUUUAAUCGCUUGUCAUCUCAAUUCAUUCAUAAUCUAAUAAUUAUAUAUAUUUGCAAGAUGUUUUGAAAAUUUCGAUGACAAUUUGAUGAGGCACUCGAAUUUAAAAUCGCAAGCUAACGGUUUUUACAAUUGUCAAAUAAAAGUAGAAUUUUCGAUUAACAGAUUCAUCAGAAGACAAUUUUUCUAUUGUGACCGCAUAUAAACCCUCGUCGAGGCUAUACUUCAUUCGAUCGAGCUUGUUAAUUCUGGCACUCAUCAUUUUAUCUGUGAUUGGGGUUUUGCUGUAGAUAGAACAGAUUUACUUUAAUCGUUUGUCAACUCAAUUCAUCCACAAUCUUAUAUACACGAUUUCUAUUGCAUUUCCACUAAGAAAAUCAUUUAAAACCAAUAUUAGAAUAAAAUUGAUGAUUUAAUAAGAAAUCUGUCAAAUAAAAGUAGAAUUUUCGUAAUUUACAUUAUUCGAAAGGAUUUGUCAUUAAUUGGAGGGUUGUAUCUUGGUAACUAAGAGCUGCUUUUUGUCUCAAAUUGUAGACUGUCGAUAAAAGUUUAGUUUUUUGAGGUUUCAUACGUGAAUAUAUACAACUGAUAAUUCUGUAAACAGAGUUAGCUAUUUCAAUAAAUGUCGUGCUAGUGGAAUCGCAAAAGAAUCCUGAAUCAAAUACGUGAGUCACGACGCGUUCUAAAAAUAUUUCAAGCUUAUUUUCAUUGUGAAAAUAACCCAAAAUAAACACACCUACAUUAUUUAUAUAAUAUGAAUCAACUACAAGUAUUUUAAGGUUAUUACAAUCGUCGGAAUACAAUAAGUUUGUAACGAAAAAAAUGUAUACUGGCCGUUAUCCAAAAAUUCACACUUAAAAUUUUACGUCUUUUGAAAAAUAAAUGCAUUCGUUUGGAUAGUGUUUAGUGUUUGUGUGUGGUCUCUGUUGGAAUAGCAGGUAACUAAAAUUGAAAUGGUGAGACUAGAAACUAGGUACGAUCCUAUACAUGGAUACAACUAUACUUAUUGGCCGGACUCUAAAUAUUUCAGAAAUUAUCAAUUUGCUCCUCCAAUAUCUUGGGUAGACGAUUGGACCAGAAGAUCACGUGUAUGGUUUCCUUAUUAUUGGUCUACAAACAGAUUAUUUAAUCAUUAUAAUGAUUACCGGCCAUCGAUAAGAUCUCUUCGAGAACAACGACUAAGACACAACUUAUACUUUUAGACCCGAUCAAAAAUCAACCGUUCAAAUUAUAUUGUAACUAUUUUUUGUAAUAAAUUUUGAAAAUCUAUAUUGUGUUUGUUUUAAAUUCGAAAUAACUAUGAUUUAUCUCCCAUAUAAAUUUCGAUUAUUUAACAAUUGAAAAUAGGUAAUAAGACAUUUAAAAUUUAAUUGGUUAGGCAUAUCAAAAUAACGAUUCAAAAGAUCUUUUUAAAGACCAAAAGGAUUAUAGAUAUAUCUGAAAUUAACUAAUUAACAGUUUUAUCUUCAAAUAUUGAUGGUAUUCACUAAAAUUGCUGUAUAACUAUCAAUUAAUGUUAUUCAUAUAUUAAAUCACUCAAAAAGUCGUGUUAUUUCAAAAUGAAUCUACUUUAAAAACAAUCUCGUGUGUUAAUUUAUGAUUGUUUCUUGAUGAAAACAUAAAUAUCGUACAAGCAAUGGCUUCAAAAAUGUUAUCCGGACUUUUCUCUAUCGAAAAGAACCAUUUUUUAUUGGUUUGCUCAAUUUAAACAGACACCGAUGAUAGUGAACGUUCUAGGCGUCCAAAUAGAGGUGGUUAUUCCAAAAAAGUACACGAAAUAGUUAUAUCUAAUCGUAAAUUAAAAUUGCGUGAGAUAGUUGAGGCUGUUUAGGUUUCAGAAGGGAGUGUAUUGAACGUUUGAUUAUCAGAAAGUUUUUUUUAAAUUGGGUGCCGCGUUUACUCACAAUCAAUCAAAAACAACAACAUGUUUACACGUGAUAAAUCAGUUUUUUUUGCAUCCAUAUGUGAUAAACGAUCAUCAUUUGAGUGGACUACAGCCGGUGAACCAGGUCCAAAGUCACAACAGUCAGUUGGAGAGGUUAUGGCUUCAGUAUUUUGGGAGGCUUUCGAAAUGUAGGUUUAUAGACACAACACCGAAUCAAGGUAUCAGUAUUACAAGAAAUUGGUCCACGUACAAGGCUACUAACCAGAAUAAAUAGGACAUAUAACUAGAAGAUGGGUAGAUUUUAAUAAAUAUGAGGCAACAUAGAUUUAACAGGAUGGAAAAGCGUGAAAACAACUGCCGAAUCAAUAUAAAUGGUAUCAUUCCAUCCUUUGGAGGAUAAUGGACAGAGGAGGAAGGAACAUUGUUCAUCAACUAUUUCCAAAAGGAAGAGACAAUCGAUAGAGAAUACUACAUAGAGUUGUUGGUUCGUUUGAAUGCAAAAACGGCCUUAUAUAUCGAAGAAAAAAUCACCGUUUCACCAAGAUAAUGCACCGAUGCUCAAGUCGAUUUCAAUAUUAGUUGAAAUGAAUAAAUUACACUUCCAAUAGCUUCCCCAUCCACCGUAUAGUCUAUAUUUAGCCCUACAGUAACUACUGGCUAUUCGCUGAUCUCAAAAAAUGCUCGUCGGUAAGAAAUUCAGCUCAAAUGCAAAAGCAAUUGAUGACAAAUACGGAAUCCACAAGUUAGAGAAGCUUUGGAAUGAUUUAAUUUCUCUUGAAGAAGAUUACAUUCAUGAAUUGGUGAAAAUUCAGAGUCUUUUGAAUACUUGAUUUAAUAGAUAUGAUUUUAGUGUUUCCUAGUCUUGAGCGAUCGAUAUUUAUUUGGUCCUUACGAUUUUUUUGAACUUUCAACGUACAGUUUUAUAGAUUUCAAUAUCGAUUGCGAUCUGUUCCACUAACUUUACCACUUGAACUAAACUUUUGUUUCUACUUUUACUUAACAAAAUUGAUAUUGCCCAGUUCAUGCUAAGUUGAAUUCUUCGAACUCGGAAUACACCAGUAGCGAUUCUUAGUGCAGUUCUUUGCGAUAAAUCAAGUUGUUUGAGAUACAUUUUUUCACAAGAUGCCUAAUACAGAUCCCAUUUAUAGCUGGCAAUAAAAUUAAUCUUAUAUAUUAGUUAAUAAAAUUUUUACAGCUUCAUCUUGUUUAUAAAUCCUAUAUCAUCGAGGAAAAUCGCGUUUAAUCUCAAAUCUGCUAUUGCAUAUUCUAUUUAUCUAUAAAAUUUUUGAUGUUAUAAAAGUUGUAACGAACGUCCGCAAUGUGAUAAGAAACUUUGAAGAUUUUCAUAUAAAUAUGUCAUUUUUAAACAGCUAGUUUGAAUUUUAAACGUUAUAUUUGGAAAACAAAAACAUUUUA
This is a long non-coding RNA of Diorhabda sublineata, 5652 nucleotides long. RefSeq lists it as uncharacterized. Lineage: Eukaryota; Metazoa; Arthropoda; Insecta; Coleoptera; Chrysomelidae. The transcript has 7 exons. The record is from RefSeq and is a predicted model, not a curated record.